UACGGAGGAUCCGAGCGUUAUCCGGAUUUAUUGGGUUUAAAGGGUGCGUAGGCGGUUUGAUAAGUUAGAGGUGAAAUGUCGGGGCUCAACCCCGAAACUGCCUCUAAUACUGUUGGACUAGAGAAUAGUUGCGGUAGGCAGAAUGUAUGGUGUAGCGGUGAAAUGCUUAGAGAUCAUACAGAACACCGAUUGCGAAGGCAGCUUACCAAACUAUAUCUGACGUUGAGGCACGAAAGCGUGGGUAGCAAACAGG
This 253-nucleotide ribosomal RNA is filed under the name uncultured bacterium. RNAcentral's name for it is "partial 16S ribosomal RNA". It matches the Rfam family "Bacterial small subunit ribosomal RNA", at positions 524 to 776 of the family's 1533-position model. The record is from RNAcentral.